This 103-nucleotide transfer RNA is filed under the name Streptomyces violaceus subsp. violarus. Its description in RNAcentral is "tRNA-OTHER". The record is from RNAcentral. Lineage: Bacteria; Bacillati; Actinomycetota; Actinomycetes; Kitasatosporales; Streptomycetaceae.
GGGUUUUUGGGUCUCUGGCCUGCGACAACAAGCCACGCACUAAGCGGUCUUGAAAACCGUCGUGGCAGCGAUGUCACCGUGGGUUCAAAUCCCACCGCCUCCG